GAGUUUGAUCUUGGCUCAGAUUGAACGCUGGCGGCAUGCCUUACACAUGCAAGUCGAACGGCAGCACGGGGGCAACCCUGGUGGCGAGUGGCGAACGGGUGAGUAAUGCAUCGGAACGUGCCCAGUAGUGGGGGAUAACCAGUCGAAAGACUGGCUAAUACCGCAUACGACCUACGGGUGAAAGCGGGGGACCGCAAGGCCUCGCGCUAUUGGAGCGGCCGAUGUCUGAUUAGCUAGUUGGCGGGGUAAGAGCCCACCAAGGCGACGAUCAGUAGCUGGUCUGAGAGGACGACCAGCCACACUGGGACUGAGACACGGCCCAGACUCCUACGGGAGGCAGCAGUGGGGAAUUUUGGACAAUGGGCGCAAGCCUGAUCCAGCCAUGCCGCGUGC
This 393-nucleotide ribosomal RNA is filed under the name uncultured beta proteobacterium. Its description in RNAcentral is "bacterial SSU rRNA". It matches the Rfam family "Bacterial small subunit ribosomal RNA", at positions 9 to 404 of the family's 1533-position model. Lineage: Bacteria; Pseudomonadati; Pseudomonadota; Betaproteobacteria. The record is from RNAcentral.